UACAGAGGUCUCAACCGUUGUUCGGAUUCAUUGGGCGUAAAGGGUGCGUAGGCGGUCGCGCAAGUCGGAUGUGAAAUCUCGAGGCUCAACCUCGAAACUGCAUUCGAUACUGCAUGGCUAGAGUGCUGGAGGGGAGACUGGAAUUUACGGUGUAGCAGUGAAAUGCGUAGAUAUCGUAAGGAAGACCAGUGGCGAAGGCGAGUCUCUGGACAGCAACUGACGCUGAGGCACGAAGGCCAGGGGAGCAAACGGG
This 253-nucleotide ribosomal RNA is filed under the name uncultured bacterium. RNAcentral describes it as "partial 16S ribosomal RNA". It matches the Rfam family "Bacterial small subunit ribosomal RNA", at positions 524 to 776 of the family's 1533-position model. The record is from RNAcentral.